GACGAACGCUGGCGUCGUGCUUAACACAUGCAAGUCGAACGGAAAGGCCCUGCUUUUGUGGGGUGCUCGAGUGGCGAACGGGUGAGUAACACGUGAGUAACCUGCCCUUGACUUUGGGAUAACUUCAGGAAACUGGGGCUAAUACCGGAUAGGAGCUCCUGCUGCAUGGUGGGGGUUGGAAAGUUUCGGCGGUUGGGGAUGGACUCGCGGCUUAUCAGCUUGUUGGUGGGGUAGUGGCUUACCAAGGCUUUGACGGGUAGCCGGCCUGAGAGAGUGACCGGCCACAUUGGGACUGAGAUACGGCCCAGACUCCUACGGGAGGCAGCAGUGGGGAAUAUUGCACAAUGGGCGGAAGCCUGAUGCAGCAACGCCGCGUGCGGGAUGACGGCCUUCGGGUUGUAAACCGCUUUCGCCUGUGACGAAGCGUGAGUGACGGUAAUGGGUAAAGAAGCACCGGCUAACUACGUGCCAGCAGCCGCGGUGAUACGUAGGGUGCGAGCGUUGUCCGGAUUUAUUGGGCGUAAAGGGCUCGUAGGUGGUUGAUCGCGUCGGAAGUGUAAUCUUGGGGCUUAACCCUGAGCGUGCUUUCGAUACGGGUUGACUUGAGGAAGGUAGGGGAGAAUGGAAUUCCUGGUGGAGCGGUGGAAUGCGCAGAUAUCAGGAGGAACACCAGUGGCGAAGGCGGUUCUCUGGGCCUUUCCUGACGCUGAGGAGCGAAAGCGUGGGGAGCGAACAGGCUUAGAUACCCUGGUAGUCCACGCUGUAAACGGUGGGUACUAGGUGUGGGGUCCAUUCCACGGGUUCCGUGCCGUAGCUAACGCUUUAAGUACCCCGCCUGGGGAGUACGGCCGCAAGGCUAAAACUCAAAGGAAUUGACGGGGCCCCGCACAAGCGGCGGAGCAUGCGGAUUAAUUCGAUGCAACGCGUAGAACCUUACCUGGGUUUGACAUGGAUCGGGAGUGCUCAGAGAUGGGUGUGCCUCUUUUGGGGUCGGUUCACAGGUGGUGCAUGGCUGUCGUCAGCUCGUGUCGUGAGAUGUUGGGUUAAGUCCCGCAACGAGCGCAACCCUUGUUCACUGUUGCCAGCACGUUAUGGUGGGGACUCAGUGGAGACCGCCGGGGUCAACUCGGAGGAAGGUGGGGAUGACGUCAAGUCAUCAUGCCCCUUAUGUCCAGGGCUUCACGCAUGCUACAAUGGCUGGUACAGAGAGUGGCGAGCCUGUGAGGGUGAGCGAAUCCCGGAAAGCCGGUCUCAGUUCGGAUUGNGGUCUGCAACUCGACCUCAUGAAGUCGGAGUCGCUAGUAAUCGCAGAUCAGCAACGCUGCGGUGAAUACGUUCCCGGG
RNAcentral lists this ribosomal RNA (1343 nucleotides) under uncultured bacterium. RNAcentral describes it as "16S ribosomal RNA". It matches the Rfam family "Bacterial small subunit ribosomal RNA", at positions 28 to 1378 of the family's 1533-position model. The record is from RNAcentral.